Molecule: RNA transcript, 2255 nt
Organism: Triticum aestivum (bread wheat)
Lineage: Eukaryota; Viridiplantae; Streptophyta; Magnoliopsida; Poales; Poaceae
Exons: 3
Source: RefSeq, a predicted model, not a curated record
CUCCAGAAGAAUCGCCUCCCCCCUUUUGUUCGCUAGGGCUUGGCAAUCGCAUGCGCCGUCCGCCGUCGCCUCCCUCAUCUGUCGCUCAUCCGUAGCGGGCGAAACCAAGCCAUGUGUCCAGCAAAGAUGAACAUGACAAAGUGAGAGCAUAUUGUUCUUGGCCUGGAGGUAAGUGGGUCAUUUAUGCAUCAAGGACCACUAGGCACAAAUGGUUGCAAGUCUCAACAUUUUUCGAUGAGCAUCACUGUAUUCCAAGAAGAGACAACAAAUUAGUGACAUCUGUUGUUAUUGCUAAGAAGUAUGCAGCCUUGAUAAAAGCAAAUCCAACAUGGAAAUUAGAAAACUUGAAGCAAACUGUUUUAAAGGACAUGUUUGCAUAUGUCACUAUUGCACAAUGCAAAAGGGCCAAGAAAUUAGUGAUGGAGAAAUACAAAGAUAGCACUAAAGAAGAAUAUUCCUUGGUUUUUGACUACCAAUUGGAAUUGCUGAGAACUAACCCAGGUAGCACUGUUGCUAUCAAACUGGCAGAUGAUGUGAAGGAUGAUGAGCAUGUUUUUGAGAGGUUUUACAUGUGCUUUGGUGCUAUUAAAAAAGGAUUUCUUGCUGGCUGCAGAAAGGUUAUAGGACUAGAUGGUUGUUUCUUUAAAGGUGUUUGCUUUGGUCAGCUACUUGUUGCUUUGGUAAGAGAUGCCAACAAUCAAAUGUACCCUGUAGCUUGGGCUGUAGUCAAAAAAGAAACAUACGAGUCCUGGUUCUGGUUUGUUGAGAAGUUAAACAGAGACCUCAAAAUCAAUAAUCAAGGGGAUGGGUGGGUGUUCAUCUCAGACCAGCAGAAAGGAUUAAUAGGGGCUGUAGAGGAUAUUCUUCCAAAAGCAGAACAUAGGAUGUGUGCAAGGCACAUUUACUCCAACUGGAAGAAAAAACAUAAUGACAAAGAUUUGCAAAAGAGAUUCUGGAGAUGUGCGAAGGCUCCUAACAGAUCUCUGUUCAACUAUAACAGAGCACGAUUGGCUCAAUUCACAGUUGAAGGAGCAAAGGACAUGAUGAAUACAGACCCAAUUCACUAGAGUAGGGCUUACAUGAAGCUGGGAAGCUACUGUGAUUCAGUUGACAAUAAUAUGUGUGAGUCAUUCAAUAACUGGAUCAUGGAAUCAAGAUAUCUACCUAUUAUAUCUAUGCUGGAGUGGAUAAGAUGCAAAAUUAUGGUGAAGAUACAAGAAUGCAUUACCAAGUGUUUGAAAUGGUCAGGAAUCAUAUGUCCAAACAUAUUUAAAAAACUGAAGCAGAAUAUAGCAAGAUCCGGAAAUUGUCAUGUGCUCUGGAAUGGAAGAGAUGGGUUUGAGGUGUUAGAGAAUGAUAAAUACAAGUACACUAUGAAUUUGCAAACUAGGGUUUGUUCUUGUAGAUAUUGGUAGCUCUCUGGUCUACCCUGCUGCCAUGCAAUAAGUUGCAUCUACAAGAGCUCACAACUGUUGGAUGCAUACAUAGCUGAGUGUUAUUCCAUUGAGGCUUACAAGAAAAUUUACUCUCAUGUGUUGGAGCCAUUGGAGGGUCAGUCAAAUUGGGCGGUUGCUGAUCAUGUGAGGCCACAAGCACCUGGUUACAUCAAAAUGCCAGGAAGGCCAAGGAAAGAAAGGAAAAGAGAAGAAGGAGAAGCACCAAAAGGGAUAAAAAUGAGCAAGGUGGGUGGCCAAAUCACUUGCAGUUCAUGCAAUAGGACAGGCCAUAACAUGAAAAGUUGCACAAAUAAUGCUGCUGCAACUAAGCAUCAUGGAAAUGCACAUAUUGUCAGAGAAAGGUCUAGGAAAAGGAAACUACAGAAAGAAGUCUAUGAUGCAGAAACUUCAAAGAAAUCAAAGGUUGAAGAAGUUGCAAGGCAGAGCAAGGGAAAGGCUGUAGCUCAAGACCUACAAGUGCAUGAGUGCAGACGACCUAUAGGCAUUCAAAUUAGGGAGACAAAUUCACAACCAAGCUCAUUGCCUGUAUCACAACCAAGCUCGCUGAAAUAUGAUAAGCAUGCUCCAGGCAGCAAGGCUAGAUCAGCAAAGGUUCAGAAAAGUGCUGCUACUCCAUUUGUUCCACCUAAACAAGUUACGAAUUUGCCACAACAUUGUGUCUUCAAUUUAGCUGCAUACAAAGAAGCUAAGAAAGGCAGAGCAGGUCCUCCAGUUUGAUGUCGAGGAGUCAUUUUUGUGUCAAGAGUCAUGUCAUGUAAUAUAUAUCUAUAUGGAGUCGUGUAUUUUCUGUACUAUCAG